RNAcentral lists this ribosomal RNA (403 nucleotides) under Actinomycetes bacterium. RNAcentral describes it as "Actinobacteria bacterium partial 16S ribosomal RNA". It matches the Rfam family "Bacterial small subunit ribosomal RNA", at positions 355 to 776 of the family's 1533-position model. The record is from RNAcentral. Lineage: Bacteria; Bacillati; Actinomycetota; Actinomycetes.
UGGGGAAUAUUGGACAAUGGGCGCAAGCCUGAUCCAGCCAUGCCGCGUGAGUGAUGAAGGCCCUAGGGUUGUAAAGCUCUUUCACCGGUGAAGAUAAUGACGGUAACCGGAGAAGAAGCCCCGGCUAACUUCGUGCCAGCAGCCGCGGUAAUACGAAGGGGGCUAGCGUUGUUCGGAUUUACUGGGCGUAAAGCGCACGUAGGCGGACUUUUAAGUCAGGGGUGAAAUCCCGGGGCUCAACCCCGGAACUGCCUUUGAUACUGGAAGUCUUGGGUAUGGUAGAGGGGGGGGGAAUUCCGGGUGUAGAGGUGAAAUUCUCAGAUAUUCGGGGAAAAACCAGUGGCGAGGCGGCUCACUGGACCAUUACUGACGCUGAGGUGCGAAAGCGGGGGGAGCAAACAGG